AAGUCGUAACAAGGUUUCCGUAGGUGAACCUGCGGAAGGAUCAUUAUCACGUAUCCACGUAUAAACCAUUGUGAACCGUUCUUUAACCUCCACGAAAUUUGAUUGCACGCACUUUACUGUGUGAACUUUCAAACGUAAAUGGAGCGUAUUCAACCUAUUAACCAUUUUAACCAAUCUUUAUAACUUUAUGAACUAACUUUAUUUUAUACUCUUCGGAGAUAAAAUUCAUUACGAAACAAAGAACAACUCUUAGCAACGGAUAUCUUGGUUCUC
Molecule: unclassified non-coding RNA, 273 nt
Filed under: fungal sp.
Lineage: Eukaryota; Fungi
Also listed under: 1 other name
Description: partial internal transcribed spacer region
Rfam family: Eukaryotic small subunit ribosomal RNA (bases 1-46)
Source: RNAcentral